Molecule: non-coding RNA, 71 nt
Organism: Chryseobacterium gleum ATCC 35910
Lineage: Bacteria; Pseudomonadati; Bacteroidota; Flavobacteriia; Flavobacteriales; Weeksellaceae
Source: Rfam
CCACUGAUAAUGUAAUGGCAGCAUGCAGGAACUGUACUCUUGUUGUCCGGGUUCGAUUCCCGGUUAGUGGU